RNAcentral lists this unclassified non-coding RNA (1741 nucleotides) under Nilaparvata lugens (brown planthopper). RNAcentral's name for it is "serine/arginine-rich splicing factor 1A, transcript variant X1". Lineage: Eukaryota; Metazoa; Arthropoda; Insecta; Hemiptera; Delphacidae. The record is from RNAcentral.
CCAUUUUGUAUUUAGCAAAACACACCAAGUGAAGGAAUCAAGGAACGGGAAGCGACGGACGUUGGAUGAUUGAAGACGACGCCUUGCCUUCUAAUUCAUUAUAUAAUCGCCAAGAAAGCGUUGUUUUACUAAAUUAUAUUUCAUAGACAGUGACUUGUUUAGAUUUUUGUAAUAGAACUUGCAUCAGUAUCUUCUUUGUAAGUGCAUUUAGAAAUUCUACAAACUAAAACUUCUUGUUACGAGUUUGAAGCAUUUUCCACGCGUACAAGGUCAUUGAGUAAGUUGUAAACUUGUCUUUUACAUAAAUUCUUCAUCAUGGCUAGUAGUAGAAAUGAAAGAAACGACUGCAGAAUCUAUGUUGGAAAUCUUCCUCCUGAUAUAAGAACCAAGGACAUUGAGGAUUUGUUCUACAAAUUUGGCAAGGUGAUGUUUGUCGAUUUGAAGAACCGAAGAGGCCCACCUUUUGCGUUUGUGGAAUUUGAAGAUCCCCGAGAUGCCGAGGAUGCUGUUCAUGCUCGUGAUGGGUACGAUUACGACGGAUACAGAUUGAGAGUGGAGUUUCCUCGCGGUGCAGGUCCCAGAGGAUUCAGGGAAGGAAGAGGCGGCGGCAUGGGUGGUGGAGGCGGAGGCCGUACCAGAGGUCCUCCAGCUAGAAGAUCAAACUACAGAGUGCUUGUUACUGGUCUACCGCCUUCGGGAAGCUGGCAGGAUUUAAAGGAUCACAUGCGGGAAGCCGGAGAUGUGUGCUAUGCUGAUGUAUUUAAAGACGGCACUGGAGUUGUUGAGUUUCUGCGUCACGACGACAUGAAAUACGCCUUCAAGAAGCUGGAUGACUCGAGAUUCAGAUCUCACGAGGGAGAAACUUCCUACAUCAGGGUGAAGGAGGAUUAUUCUGGUGGUGGAUAUCGCGACAGCGAGGACAGAGGCCGUUCCAAGAGCAGGAGCUAUUCGCCCGACAGACGUGGAAGUCCGGUUUACUCUCCGGUGCGUCGCAGUUACUCUCGUUCCAGAUCACGAUCUUGAAUCAUUCCUUGGGUGUAUUGGACACCAGAGCAAUGUUGUAAGGAUAAGGAUUAAAGACAAAUUAAGGAGCAACACACAGCUGACACGGCUGGCUUGCGUUGCGCUGAGUGGAGGAUUAUGGAUUCAUAGGAUUUCAGAGAAAGAGAGAGUGAGUGAGAAGAGGGAGAGGAUAAAUGCCUCGUUUAAAUUCCUCCUCCUCCAGUUAAUUUGGAUCCCUCGUGGGAGCGCCCUCGCCACUAACUGCGUGGGACGUUAGGAUCAUGAAGGAUCAGGAUCAGGAUUAGGAUCAAAUGCCGGAUUGGAUCACUAGGAUCGCGUGGACCCACAUUCUUUGGCCAUAGUCAGUGGAUGUUGGUUUUACCGUACGUGCAUUUUGAGCUUGAAAUAGGCGCAUCAUGCUAUUACCAGAAAGUUUUUUACUAUUCUUCAGCCAUCUUAACUUUUAUGAGAACGGAACAUUUUAUCAAUGAGUAAUGUGUAUUAUUUGCAACAAUUUGUAUUGUAAUAUUGAAUAAUAAAUAGUGAAUACGUCCUGAUUUUAUUGGCGGGAUGGUCUCCAAUUUCCAUUAGCUAUGUAAUUUUAGAAUUGAUUUCUGAAGAUUGUAUGCGUGUGCAUGAGAUUUUCUUAAAAGUUUCAUUAUAUUAUUAUAUUUAGACUCAAGUAUUUUGACAUUGGUUUGUAUGAGUUGUACUUCAAUAAAGAUGAACAUUUCAUUUA